ACUGACUCAAUGGACAUGAGUUUGAGUGAACUCCGGGAGUUGGUGAUGGACAGGGAGGCCUGGCGUGCUGCGAUUCAUGGGGUCGCAAAGAGUCAGACACGACUGAGCAACUGAACUCAACUGAUGAAAGGCCCCAACUUCAUAGUACAAACCCUGAAAAACCCAUAGAACAAUUUAGAUGAAACUGAAGGAUGGUGCCUUGGGAUCUUCCAGCUCCAGAGCUCAGUGCUGAGUGGGGAUGGUGGACUUGAGCAUCUGUGGAUGUUGGUAUCUGCAGGGUGUCCUGCAACCUAUGCCCUACUUUGGAUAUCAAGGGACCAGGGUAUUUUCUUCCACCUUAAAGUAACUUUCUAGCUCCCAGGGGAGGAAAGAGGAGACGAUGAAAAACCCACGAGCAGCAGGUGUGCUGGUUCUCCUGCUCCGGCUCAAGGGGACAGCUUGUCAUCGGUCCUGCCUAGUAUCCUGGCAAGGAAACAAGAGUUGCAUCAUCUGGGGAACUUUUCAAGGCCAAUCUCAACUCACUUUUGGAAAUGUUCGCUUUUCUUUUUUACCUCAAGUGCCUAGAAUUAUUUGACCAAACUCUGUGAUUGAUGGCAUAGUACCAGCAUUGGGAGGAAAUAGUUUUAUACCAUUUUUAAAAACUGGCAAAAUGAACACCCAGUCAUACCUCAUUAUCUUUUGGAUUCCAACCUGCCACCCUCAGUCAACAUGCCCUACAUUUUUCUUGACAUGAAGGACGGUGUGGAGAACAUUUCCCAGCUCUCCAGAACUAAAUCAGAAAAGGGCACAGUGCUGACUUAACUAUUUUGUAAGCUAGUUAUAGUAAGACAACUUUGAUUUUUUUAAAAUAUAUUGUGCCCCCUUUAAAAGUCUGUUUCUUCACCAAAACACAGCAAGGAGGCUGAGGAGGAGGAGGAGAAAACCCAAUCACUUUCUUCUUCCAUAAUCAUCUUGACAAUGUUCUGAGAGGCGAAGAAACCAAAAGGAAAGAUUUGGGGAGCUCCAUAAAAGCACACAUACAGAGAAGUUGGGGACAGUCUUUAAACUCUGGCCACCCUUGGUGCAGACAUGUGGUAUGGGAUUUUGUCUCCUGAGAACUCCCACAGCUGCUGGGGGUGGGGCUAGGGGUGGUUCCAGUGGAGUAUGUGAGAGUGAAGGCUGAAGGCUAAGAUGCUAUAAACAAGUCCAGUGGCUUUGGGCAAGGUUUAUUUCCUGGGUAAUGGUCCACAGCAGUGGGAUAGUUCUGCUCCAUGUGGCCGCCUGGGUCUCAGAUGUUUUCCAUUUUGUCACCCAGCUGUCCCCAGAUCACUGUCACUGUGUGUGCUGUUGAAGCAAGAAAUGGUGAAGUGUCCUGUUGCCAUGUAGGACUCUCAGCUGGCAAGAAGGAGAAAGAGCUACAGGCAAUGUAUUAAGACCCCCCCCACCCCCAUACUUGGAAAUGCCACACAUCAAUUUUGCUCAUAUUUCAUUGGUAAGACCUUGGUCACAUGGCCAUGUCUGAUUGCAGGCAAGACUUGGAAAGAUAGCCUAGCUGGCUACCAUGUAUACAUGGAUUGAUUACUCCAUUACCGUGUAAGCGCUAAGGAGAAAGAGACAAUGGAUUUUGGUGCUUGCAGGCAGCUCUAGGGAGUGGGACCUCAGUGAAAGUAAUUGCUGGGACAACCCAGGGUCAUCAGUAUUGACUGACUGUGCAGAUGAUGAAAAAGCAUGUUGGACAUACGUAAAUUAGUCCAAGCUGCACAAUUGGUCAAAAUAGCCCCUACAAAACAGAAUCAAGGAAGGAAAAAGGAGAGAACUUAAAUUCUAACCAGGAUUCUUUUUGAGAGAAAAAAUAUGGAAAAGAGAGAACAAGAGAUUUGGGUUAAGAAGCUAGCUUGAGAGACUUCUGUUUCUAGAGUUUGAGCCUCAAGUAAAUAUUGAUAGUAAAGGAUUAUAAUCCAUUCAAUAAAAUAAGAAAUCAUGGGUCCACACAGAUACAAGUAAACUAAUACAAGUUUGGGGACUCCCUGGUGAUCCAGUUAAGAAUCCGCCUUGCAAUGUAGGGAACUAGGGUUCAACCACAUGCCACAGGGCAGCUAAGCCAAGCCCUGAAACCAGAGAAGGCUGUGCCACAACAGUGGUCCUGCGUGCCACAACUAAGACCUAACACAGCCAAAUACUUUUUUUUUUUUAAGUUUUUUAAGUUUGACAAGGUACAGGGUAAUUACACAGUUGCAAAGUACAUCCCAGGGCUUCCCAGGUGACACAGUGGUAAAUAAUCUGCCUACCAAUGCAGGAGACGCAGGUUCUAGCUUUGGGUCAGGAAGAACCCCUGGAGGAGGAAAUGGCAACACACUCCAGUAUUUCUUGCCUGGAAAAUCCCAUGGAGAGGGGAACCUGGCAGGUAACAGUCCAUGGGGUCACAGAUUCAGACACUACUGAGCAUGCACACACACAAAGCACAUCCCUCAAAGUACUAAUUACAAAGGGUAACUUUUCUGGCCGAGCCACCUUCAUCAAGUGAUCAAAGUGAACUUCACCAGUAUGGGUCAAAUCUAAAUCGUGUGCAGCUUGAGAAGAUGCAAGGAGAAAAGAGCAUCUGGCCAGAUUUCUGCCGAAGGUCACAGCCUGAAUUUAAUUACGAAGAAAUGGCAGACGAGCACUAGCUGAGAGACACCCUUCAAAAUCAUCGUCCUGUCAUUUUCAAAAUUGUCAAAGUCAUGUAAGUCAAGAAAAGCAACCACCACAGACAUGAAAGCCGAACACGGCACGUGAUUCUGUACUAGACCGUUCCUUUAUCCAGAACUUCUUUAGGACAAUUGGUGGAACUUGAAAAAAAAAAUUUGAGGAUUAGAUGGUAAUGAUGGGUUAAUGUCAGUUUCCUGAUUUUGAUGUUUGUCUUGUGGUUUUGUAGGAGAAUCUCCUUGUUUGCCAGAAACAAGACUCCAAAGUAUUUACAGGUGAUGAGGCUUCCUGUUGGCCACUUGCUCUCAAAUGACUGAGGAGAACAAUUUAUUUGUAUAGUACCUGCAACUUUCCUGAAAAGUUUGAAAUUAUUUUUUAAAAAACCCAACCAAUUUUUAAAAUACCAUUUAUGUAGCAUCAUAUACUUAGAAAUUUAGCCAGAUAAUAAAACUUCUAUAAAGGAAAAACUAACCAAGGCAAAAAUAAACUUUGUGCUAUUUAGGAAUACCUACAUUAUAGGGUAAGGCUAAAAAAAAAAAACCCAAAGAAACAGUACACACCAAAUUCAGGAUGGUGGUAACCCUGCGGGUGUGGGAGAAGGUGAUGUCACAGGGAGGACCCACACAGCAACAUGAGGGUGUAAGUGAUAUUCCACUUUUUCAAAUAAAGAUGUUUGUUAUUGUGCUUUAUAAUUCA
Long non-coding RNA from Bubalus bubalis (water buffalo), 3360 nucleotides. RefSeq lists it as uncharacterized. NCBI's taxonomy places the organism in Eukaryota, Metazoa, Chordata, Mammalia, Artiodactyla, Bovidae. The record is from RefSeq and is a predicted model, not a curated record. The transcript has 2 exons.